This 279-nucleotide ribosomal RNA is filed under the name uncultured bacterium. RNAcentral describes it as "partial 16S ribosomal RNA". It matches the Rfam family "Bacterial small subunit ribosomal RNA", at positions 506 to 784 of the family's 1533-position model. The record is from RNAcentral.
UGCCAGCAGCCGCGGUAAUACGGAGGGUGCAAGCGUUAAUCGGAAUUACUGGGCGUAAAGCGCGCGUAGGCGGUUUGGUAAGUGUGAUGUGAAAGCCCAGGGCUCAACCUUGGAACUGCAUCACAUACUGCCAGGCUAGAGUACGGUAGAGGGGGGUAGAAUUCAUAGUGUAGCGGUGGAAUGCGUAGAUAUUAUGAAGAAUACCAGUGGCGAAGGCGGCCUCCUGGGCCAAUACUGACGCUGAGGUUCGAAAGCGUGGGUAGCGAACAGGAUUAGAUA